Long non-coding RNA from Manduca sexta (tobacco hornworm), 1433 nucleotides. RefSeq lists it as uncharacterized. Lineage: Eukaryota; Metazoa; Arthropoda; Insecta; Lepidoptera; Sphingidae. The transcript is spliced from 2 exons. The record is from RefSeq and is a predicted model, not a curated record.
AAUAUUUCAAACGAUUCCAAGCAGUUUAAAGCGCUCACACGAAUGUUGGGUGUGUUUAUAAAGCCGACCCUUGUGAGGCAAACGUAGGCCUGGUAAAAAAGUAGCUCAACUAUAGAGCCACAAUCUAAAAAAUAAAUUGAUGUCUUCGCUCCGUUUCUAUAUUUUGUAAACCGUCAAGGCUAUAUACAAUUUCACAACAACCAGAUACUUAAUUUUAAGAUUUUGGAGUGGAGUGAUUGCAAGAUGUUAGAAGAUGUGGUUAAUGAUUAUUCUGCAUACUUUAAUCUGAAUGUAACUAAUGAAUUUCAAACUGUGCAAGACGUCGUUGACAACAUGUUAACCAGGCUGGAAGAACUGACAAGUGUACUACAAAUAAUAAAAUUAAAGAACAGUGACUGCAAUAAAGCCGUAUCUGAAGACAUUAGUAAAUAUCGCACAGAGAUAACUACAUUGUCAAAAAAAAUUGCUACUUUGAGCAAUGUUGUCCUGCGACUCCAAACAAAUGUGGAUUUGAUAGAAAAACAAAUGGAAAAAGCUGAAUUGGAUUUUGGUGUCCAUAAUGAUAAUAAAAUUAAAAGUUUUCUAAAACCUUUCCUUAAAAGGAAUAAAGACAUAACUCGACUAAACAAUCCAAUCACACCACCCGUUAUGCUUAAGCUAGAAAGUGUUAUGAAUAAUUUUAAUAACAUACAAAUGUAAAAAACAUAGGUAUAAAAAGGCUCUAAAUUAGAAACAUUUUUAACUUUUUGUGCCUUAAAAUGUGAAAAAUGAAACCCAACUUUAUGAAAAAUAUGUUUAAUACAACAAAAUCUUACAGACUAAUAGUGAUUAUUCAGUAUCACAAUAAAAUGCUAUCUAGGAGUGCCAUUGGUUUGUAAAUUAACAUGCAAUUAAAGGCAUUGUGUAUUAUAACUUACAUACAAAAAAAAAAUACUGUUCAUAAUUAUUCAAAAUCAAUUGAUCAAUCCAAGUUUCUUAGAACUAAAUUUUACCUUUUAAGUAAUGGCAAUGUUAGAUCAAAAUAUUUAUUUCUUUUACUGAAUAAUUCAGUAUAAAUAAGCUAUAUAACAUAUUGUUUGGUUGUUACAGCUUAUUUUUAGGUAACAUUGUAACAUUAUGGGAUCUUAGAACAAAAAUGUUCUGGAAAGUGACUCGCUAGACAAAGCUAAUGACUAUCUGUACCAGAAAUUGUGAAAAAUAUUGAGUGUAAAUGUAGGUUCUCAAAAUGGCAUUCUUACUCUAAGAGAUUUAUAAUUACACUAUAAUUUUUAAUCACUAUGGUGCAAUAUUGUGUAUUCUACGAUUGUUUUUUUUAAUAUGAAAUACAAAAUGUUGGAUAAUUAUCUAGUUACAUAUAUUAUCUAGUUUGGUUCAGUUUUCAUUUCCAUUUAGAUUAAGGUGACCAAUCAAUAUUAAAUUUCCGCUUAAUUUUG